RNAcentral lists this ribosomal RNA (394 nucleotides) under uncultured Anaeromyxobacter sp. RNAcentral's name for it is "bacterial SSU rRNA". It matches the Rfam family "Bacterial small subunit ribosomal RNA", at positions 67 to 447 of the family's 1533-position model. The record is from RNAcentral. Lineage: Bacteria; Pseudomonadati; Myxococcota; Myxococcia; Myxococcales; Anaeromyxobacteraceae.
CGAGAAAGCCCGCAAGGGUGAGUACAGCGGCGCACGGGUGCGUAACACGUGGGUAAUCUGCCCUGGAGCCCGGAAUAACUCCCCGAAAGGGGUGCUAAUGCCGGAUGAGACCACGGGGGCCUCGGCUCCUGCGGGAAAAGGUGGCCUCUGUAUACAAGCUAUCACUUCAGGAUGAGCCCGCGGCCCAUCUGCUCGUUGGCGGGGUAAUGGCCCACCAAGGCUACGACGGGUAGCUGGUCUGAGAGGACGACCAGCCACGCUGGAACUGAGACACGGUCCAGACUCCUACGGGAGGCAGCAGUGGGGAAUCUUGCGCAAUGGGCGAAAGCCUGACGCAGUAACGCCGCGUGUGUGAUGAAGGUCUUCGGAUCGUAAAGCACUGUCGCGAGGGACG